RNAcentral lists this ribosomal RNA (428 nucleotides) under uncultured bacterium. RNAcentral's name for it is "partial 16S ribosomal RNA". It matches the Rfam family "Bacterial small subunit ribosomal RNA", at positions 354 to 796 of the family's 1533-position model. The record is from RNAcentral.
GUGGGGAAUUUUCCGCAAUGGGCGAAAGCCUGACGGAGCAAUGCCGCGUGAGUGACGAAGGCCUUCGGGUUGUAAAGCUCUGUCUUCAGGGACGAAAACAAUGACGGUACCUGAGGAGGAAGCCACGGCUAACUACGUGCCAGCAGCCGCGGUAAUACGUAGGUGGCAAGCGUUGUCCGGAAUGACUGGGCGUAAAGGGCGUGUAGGUGGAUUGAUCAGUCGGAUGUGAAAUACCCGGGCUUAACCUGGGAGCUGCAUUCGAUACGGUCAGUCUUGAGUGCAGGAGAGGGCAGUGGAAUUCCCAGUGUAGAGGUGAAAUGCGUAGAGAUUGGGAGGAACACCAGUGGCGAAGGCGGCUGCCUGGACUGUAACUGACACUGAGGCGCGAAAGCGUGGGGAGCAAACAGGAUUAGAUACCCGGGUAGUCC